This 1036-nucleotide long non-coding RNA is filed under the name Sorghum bicolor (sorghum). RNAcentral describes it as "long non-coding RNA (SBIC_LNC008390)". Lineage: Eukaryota; Viridiplantae; Streptophyta; Magnoliopsida; Poales; Poaceae. The record is from RNAcentral.
UGGUCCAAUCAAAUCACGUCUCCAUGGUAAAUGCAAGGUGAUGAACUAAAAAACUCUACUACAGUUUGCUUGUUGUCCACCCAAAACCAUACUUGGAAACCAUCUUUAGUUACAAACGGGCUAAAACGGAGAAAAUCCUUUUUCACAUUCAUGAGGCUACCCCAGAAAUGGGAGUCCUCACUUUUCCAAUAAACAUGGGAAUAAGGCUUUGGGCCUAAGUACUUAUUUCAGAUUAUAUGUUGCCAUAUCCAUCAGAUCUCAACAACUUGAACAACCAUUUGCUUUGGAGUGCAUCAUUCUUUAGCUUGAAAUAAUGAAUUCCUAACUGCCCUGUUCCUUAGGAUGGCAUACUAUGCUCGACUUGGCAAGGUGAUAUUUCCUUCUUCAGUUGUCGCUUUGAGAAAAAAAUACACUGGAUCUAGAAUAAUCUAUCUUCUCCAGCACCCCUCUUGGGAUUGCAAAGAAAGACAUCAUGUAUACAUGGGUAGACUACUACUAAGAACUCAGGGCUAGUCUUCCCCCAGUCGAUAGAUGUUUUCCUUUCUAGCUAUAUAUUCAACUUCUCAAAACAUUUUUCCACCUUAUGCUAGUCUGCUUUCCAUAACUUUCUAAGGUGAAUUAGAAUUCCUUAAUAAGAUAUAUGGAAAUUUUCCAGAUUGCACCCAAAAAAAGCAUGCCCCAAGGAGAUGGAGAUCCUACUAAGUGUAACACCCAAAAAAAUGGAUUUCGAUUAAUAGGAAUUAAUUUGAUGCAAUUAAGUAAUUUUAUGAGCAUUUCAUGUAGUAAAUAAAUAAAUUUUGAUGAAAUUAAAAUUUAUCAUAAGAUUAGAAACUGUAUAUGCAUUCUUGCUGGAGCAUAGUUAUUUUUGUGCUGCUGACAUUUGUUUGGAACUUAAUUGCUUUCAAAAUUCUAUUUAUAAAAAGGUUUCGAAAAAGGAAAAAAAAGAAAAUAAAGAGAGAUGGCUUACCUGUUCUUGGUUGGGCCAGAAGCCGAGGCCCAAGCCUCCCACCAGCAGCCCAGCACCCCUACCCCCCCC